GGAUGUGAGGGUGAUCCGGCUGUGGCAUCUGUCACCCCAUUGAUCUCCAGGGUUGAUUCAACUAAUCUGGCUGGCUAGGUGGGUGUCCCUUCCUCCCUCAAUGCUCCCUGUGCAUCCAACCUUCCCCAACAGAGGAGGAUCAGUCUUUAGUCAAGGAUAUCCAAGUAGCUGCCCUUCCCUGCUAGGACCUUCACACAAGCUCUCAAACGACAAGCAUAAUAUUAUAAGCAGGUGUACAACAUGUCAAGAGCAAAACUAUCAACAGUAAUUUAUCGAGGCUAAACAGUGAUUUGU
This 294-nucleotide small nuclear RNA is filed under the name Nannospalax galili (Upper Galilee mountains blind mole rat). RNAcentral describes it as "7SK RNA (ENSNGAG00000007567.1)". It matches the Rfam family "7SK RNA". From Rfam's summary of the family: 7SK was discovered as an abundant small nuclear RNA in the mid-70s but a possible function has only recently been suggested. Two independent studies have found that 7SK RNA binds the CDK9/cyclin T complex (known as elongation factor P-TEFb). Lineage: Eukaryota; Metazoa; Chordata; Mammalia; Rodentia; Spalacidae. The record is from Rfam by way of RNAcentral.